RNAcentral lists this ribosomal RNA (494 nucleotides) under uncultured bacterium. RNAcentral describes it as "partial 16S ribosomal RNA". It matches the Rfam family "Bacterial small subunit ribosomal RNA", at positions 30 to 507 of the family's 1533-position model. The record is from RNAcentral.
AUUGAACGCUGGCGGCAUGCUUUACACAUGCAAGUCGAACGGCAGCGGGGAGGAGCUUGCUUCUCUGGCGGGGAGUGGCGAACGGGGGAGUAAUACAUCGGGACGUGUCGAGAUGAGGGGGAGAUACACCCGAAAGAGUGGCUAAUACCGCAUAAAUUCUGAGGGAGAAAGCUCGGGACCUGGUAAUACGCCUCGCGCUUGUUGAGCCCCAGAUCGCGGAUGAGCUAGUUGGUGGGGUAGAGGCUCACCAAGGCGAAGAUCUGUAGGGGGUGUGAGAGGAUGAUCAGCCACACUGGGACUGAGACACGGCCCAGACUCCUACGGGAGGCAGCAGUGGGGAAUUUUGGACAAUGGGGGCAAGCCUGAUCCAGCCAUACCGCGUGUAUGAAGAAGGCCUUAGGGUUGUAAAGUACUUUUGUUAGGAAAGAAAAGAAGGCUGUUAAUACUGGCUGAUACUGACGGUACCUAAAGAAUAAGCACCGGCUAACUACGUG